UAGGGAAUCUUCGGCAAUGGGGGCAACCCUGACCGAGCAACGCCGCGUGAGUGAAGAAGGUUUUCGGAUCGUAAAGCUCUGUUGUAAGAGAAGAACGUGUGUGAGAGUGGAAAGUUCACACAGUGACGGUAACUUACCAGAAAGGGACGGCUAACUACGUGCCAGCAGCCGCGGUAAUACGUAGGUCCCGAGCGUUGUCCGAAUUUAUUGGGCGUAAAGCGAGCUCAGGCGGUUUAAUAAGUCUGAAGUUAAAGGCAGUGGCUUAACCAUUGUUCUCUUUGGAAACUGUUAAACUUGAGUGCAGAAGGGGAGAGUGGAAUUCCAUGUGUAGCGGUGAAAUGCGUAGAUAUAUGGAGGAACACCGGUGGCGAAAGCGGCUCUCUGGUCUGUAACUGACGCUGAGGCUCGAAAGCGUGGGGAGCAAACAGG
This 429-nucleotide ribosomal RNA is filed under the name bacterium. RNAcentral describes it as "partial 16S ribosomal RNA". It matches the Rfam family "Bacterial small subunit ribosomal RNA", at positions 355 to 776 of the family's 1533-position model. The record is from RNAcentral.